UCAUCUGCUCAAGAUAUAUUUCAAAUCUACUUAUGUACAACCAUGCAACUCAAAUUCAUUUGCAUUAUCAAAUCACACAUCAAUUGCCAACUAAUAUAAAGAUAUCUUCUAUUACAACAUUUACACACUUACAUACGGGCAAUAUUGCCGGAAAACUGCCACCCUCCUGGAAGAAACAAACAGUGCUCCAGUCCGCUUUCUUUUUAUAACUACAACUUACGGAAAAUGCUUCCUCGGAACCGAAACUUUCCGUUAGGUUCUUCAAAAUCUCUUUAUAAAGUUCAAAACUAAAUAACACUAGAAUUCUACCAUCACGCUAUUAUAAUUUUUAAACAAUGACAAGCGUACUCUAUUUUAACAAUCACGUUACAACAAUAUUUUAAAAUUAAUAAAGCACUUUAACAUCUGUAAUCAAGCAUGUCAUUUUCUCAGCACUGCAAACUAUUGAGUAGCUAAUAAAUAUUAACUAAUUAUGGCUUAUUCCAAGCCAUAUUUCUGUUACAAUACAUGUAUAAUACCUCCACACAGUUUUGGCUAUUAUGCAAUUGUCACUAAAGUUCAUUUGCGCAUUUUGCAAUAUUCUUACACACAAAGUCAAGUGUUGUCGCUUCUACGUUAAUAACCUGGAAUAACUUGCAGUUAAUAACACUAUCAAUAAUGGAUAAUUAGGAAUAACAUGCACAAGGGCCAAACAUUCUUAAUACUAUUAACAAUAAAUUUUUACAACCACUGAGUAUUUUAAUAAAAUACAAAACAAGUCAAACUCCAAAAAUCGAUAACAUUUUUUUUUUUCAUUUUUUUUCAUUUUUAUUUAAAUGUUAUUCAUUUUGCGGUUUCUCUUGUUUUCUAUACUAUUAACAAUGGAAAUAUAACAUUCUCUAUAUCAUAACAACAUCAUUAUUAUGUACUAUAACACUAUUAAUAAUGCAAGUGCAUAAAACUAUUAUAUAUUCCAUCUGUCUGUAUUUUUUUUUUACAAAAAACUGUCAAAAACUACAUAUAUUGUUAGCAGGUCAACUUAUUAAUCAACUUACAACAAGGGCUAUACAACACUAUACAAUUUUAUAAAAGCCUAGUGAUACAGCACUAUAUAAUGCUAUACGAGACUAAAUGACACUAUAAGGAUGAAAUCCCAAAAAAUUUCGAGAGUAUCAUUUUCUCAAUCAGAAUUUUAAAAUUAAAUACGCAUAAUUUGUUAAGAGGAUAUUAAGUUAAAGUUGUAGCCCUCAUCAAGGCGAACAUCAUUCGUUAGUGUCUUCUUAACAAAAUAUGCAAGCGUAAGGUUUUACACUAUGCGCAUGCGUACACCUUCUUGUUCCCAGCCGACACUUCAAUUUUUAGAAUCUACGGUACAUAAGCUCUCCAUCAAUGCCUUACUCGUGUAUCAAGAGACCAACAAAGCAGGUUAUUCCCGGUCCAUAAUCGAACAAGACAUGAAAGUUAAUAUUAGGCGGUUUCCAACCUGAUGUUGCAUCGAAUUUCAAGGUUUUUCUAGCAGAGACUUGAAUUUGGGCAGGCCUACAGGUUGUAUUUCUGGAAUCAACGAUUCAUAAGCGUUCUCUGGAAGCCUUUUUUGCCCAUCACUAGGCCGGAUGUGGAGAGAAAUGCAGUUUUUUACCAGCGGUGUAAUCGAAAAGACGAUAAAGUUAGAAUUUUUUAAGUGAGGGUUAGGGUUUGGGCUGUCUCCAAUGUGAUGUUCUAUUGAAUUUCAAGGUCCCUGUAACGAAGACGUGAAUUUCGCACGGUCCAAAAAUUCGAUUUUUAUAAUCUACGGUCCAUAAGCUUUCUAUCGAUGCCUUACUCGUCUAUCAAAAGACAGUUUAUGAAGAAACAGACCAGGUUACUCCAGGUGCAUAAUCGAAAAAGACGUGAAACUUAAUAUUAUGCAGUUUCCAACCUAAUGUUCUAUCCAGUUUUAAGGAUAUUAAGCAAAGUUGUAGCCCUCAUCAAGACGAACAAGUUUCGUUAAUAUCUUCUUAACAAAAAAUGCAAGCGUAAGGUUUUACGUUCUGCGCAUGCGCAGACCUUCUCCUUCCCAGCCGGCAUUUCGGUCUGGAGCUCUAUCUGCCUGAAACUUUGGCCGAAAAGUUGAUGUCACGAAAAAUGUCCAUGAAAUCAUUUUCUGAAUCAGAAUUUUACGCUAAAUCCAAUGGUGAUAGUGUCGUCCCCAGCCGCCGCAUUGGUCCGGAGUUAUGGAAGGUUAUGUACUGCGCAUGCGCAGAUCUAUCUUCGUAAAUACGCAUAAUUUGUUGAAAGGAUGUUAAGCAAAGUUGUAGCACUCAUCAAGGCGAAAAACAUUCGUUAAUGUCUUCUUAACAAAAUAUGCAAGCGUAAGGUUUUACCUUCUGCGCAUGCGCAGACUUUCUCCUUCCCAGCCGGAAUUUCGGUCUUGAGCUCUAUCUGGCUGAAACUUUCGCGGAAAAGUUGAUGUCACGAAAAAUGUCCAUGAAAUCAUUUUCUGAACCAGAAUUUUACGCUGAAUCCAAUGGUGAUAGUGUCGUCCCCAGCCGCCGCAUUGGUCCCGAGUUAUGGAAGGUUAUGUACUGCGCAUGCGCAG
Molecule: long non-coding RNA, 2557 nt
Filed under: Paramuricea clavata
Lineage: Eukaryota; Metazoa; Cnidaria; Anthozoa; Malacalcyonacea; Plexauridae
Source: RNAcentral